RNAcentral lists this small RNA (557 nucleotides) under Pongo abelii (Sumatran orangutan). Its description in RNAcentral is "retained intron". The record is from RNAcentral. Lineage: Eukaryota; Metazoa; Chordata; Mammalia; Primates; Hominidae.
AUUCAUGCAAGCUGUCCCACCCCCCUCUUUCCAGUUUGCUCUGAAAAUGAGUCUGAAGCUGAAGCUGACCAGCAGAUGGACAACUUGUACCUGAAAGCCUUGGAGGGUUUCAUUGCUGUGGUGACCCAAGAUGGCGACAUGAUCUUUCUGUCAGAAAACAUCAGCAAGUUCAUGGGACUUACACAGGUGGAGCUAACAGGACAUAGUAUCUUUGACUUCACUCAUCCCUGUGACCAUGAGGAGAUUCGUGAGAACCUGAGUCUCAAAAAUGGCUCUGGUUUUGGGAAAAAAAGCAAAGACAUGUCCACAGAGCGGGACUUCUUCAUGAGGAUGAAGUGCACGGUCACCAACAGAGGCCGUACUGUCAACCUCAAGUCAGCCACCUGGAAGGUCUUGCACUGCACGGGCCAGGUGAAAGUCUACAACAACUGCCCUCCUCACAGUAGUCUGUGUGGCUACAAGGAGCCCCUGCUGUCCUGCCUCAUCAUCAUGUGUGAACCAAUCCAGCACCCAUCCCACAUGGACAUCCCCCUGGAUAGCAAGACCUUCCUGAGCCG